GUCUUGCUCUGUCACCUAGGCUGGAGUGCAGUGGCACAGUGGCAUGACCAUAGCUCACUACAGCCUCAAACUACUCCUGGGCUCAAAAUGAUCCCCCUGCCUCACCUACCAAGUAGCUGAGACUACAGGCAAAUGCCACCAUGCCUAGCCUGUGCCUGUUUUCUUAAGGCAGAAAUGAUCUAAAAGUGUGGCAGAGGGAAAAGAAGAUGGGACUUAGAGCUUAAAUAAAUCUAGAUGAAAAUGUUGGUUCUAUCACUCACAGGUUCUGUGAUGUUAGGGAAGUUAAGUUAUUUGCAAUAAAAAUUAUUAAUAUUGUAGAACAUGUAUUGAUCCUAUGUAUCAGGCUUGAAUUAGGUGCUUUAAGUGGGUUGUCUCAAUUAAUUCAUCACUCUGAUUUUCAAUUUUCUGUUCUAAGAAAUGAGAUCAAAUAUGCCUAUCUUGCCGAAGAGUAGUAAAAAUUAGACAGGUAGCUGCCUCUGGAUCCUGCAGGGUAGAGAAAGUAUUACAUAUCUGCAUGUGUGGAUGUGAAGGACACACAGAUACAUAAGGUAAAUGAGAAUUUAUUAUAAAGGUGUAUUUGACAAAAAUUGGGGAAAAAAGGAAAAUUGGAGAAGAUAUCUUUCUGUGAGAUUAAAGACAAAUAGGGGAAAAAAGGGACCAAUGACAAGAAUUAGAGCAAGGUAUGUAAAGAAUUCCAGAGCUGGCUCUAAGAGAUAGAGCAGCUGGUCAUAUAUGAAAGGGAUGAUUCAUUCUUCAGGGGCUAUCCCUCGUGAUCCUAUUUCCUUGCACAAGCUAUCAGUUAAUUUAUUGAUUCACCUCCUUUAUGUGCUCAUAGGCAUCAAGAAUACAAUGGAUCACAUACAAUUACAGAAAAGUUUCAUUUCAGGAGGUCAAACAGGAAGUUUCUUUCUGACUUAUAUUGAAGUACUCAUGAUGACAAUGGAGAAAAAUGAACAUAAUCUUUUAUGGGUGGGGACCAUGUGAUCUCUUUUCUUUCAAGCUCCAGAGGGUUUAUAAGACAUUUCCAUGUUCAAUUUGAUUCCGGAAAUUAUAUGUUGGGUAGAACAGACUCUUUUUGGCAACUCAUGAGAAUUGCCAAUGAUCCCAGCAUUUGCUACUCUUGAUAGUAAUUCCCUUCAUUUCCUCCAUUUUUAUACAUGACCUGCAGUAAAUAUUGACAGUUACUUUGCUGGAAAGAAUAACACAGAGACAGCUUUUCUUAAGCUCCAAACUGAAUUUCGUGGUUAAUUGAUUGGCCAGCUGGCCCUGCCGUCUCUUGACCUCUACAAGAGCCAGCAAGAUUGAUGGUUUCAGCAGCCUUUCAUGGUGCACUAAAGCAUUCAGAUCUAUCUUUUGUUAUUUGGGAAACACUAAGUUCUUAUGUAGCACAUUAUUUACAUGGACUCAAGGGCUGACGAGCUGGGAGGCAGCAAAUGCCCAAAUGGAAGACAAUGUAUGUAGAUCAAAGAAGCCGAUGAGACAGAGAGUUCAUAAAAUGUGAAUACAAUUCCAGGGGAGAAUUGAUGAUUAUGGAAGCAGAAAGCCAAUUGAGUUAAAUAUUCAUUCCAGCAACAAGUCUGAUCGUCUCACUGGGACCUGUGCCUUUCCGAAGUUUCCUCAGCUUUUCAAGGUCUACACAAGGAAAGAACAAAGCCAUCAAGGAGGCUCUCAUUCUGGAAAGCCGGCUGCAAGAUGGCAUGAACCAGAGGUCAGCGGCCACCACUGAGAGUUCAUCGUAUUCGCCUCUGUAAAGAAUAAGCCUCAAGCAGUGGUUCUGCAGGAGCGGUUCAGCAUCAUCAAUACCAAUGAGCCCUAAUGAAUGUGACAAUUCAGAAUGAUUGGGCCUUUUCCUCCAAAACGUUUUUCUCCUCAAAAGUAAAACAGGCUUGAAACUCAUGUCUUAUAUAUGCUGUUUAGAUUUUCAUAUAUUAAUGUCACGAAUCAGAUGAUAGGAAGGUAUAUUAACAAGUGAGACAUUGGGAUAUGGCCCCUUGUUCAAGAGCAUCAAAGCAUUAAAUAUGUUGUUUUAAAAAUACCUUUGGCAUAGUUUUACCACCUAUUUCUCAAUUGCCAUCAAAAUUUUAACUUUUAAUGACUUUUGGAAGUAGGUUAGAUGGGGUGGUGGGAGAGGAAUAGAGGAUACAGAAAGAUAAAAACUAAAUCCAAAAAUAGUAUUGAAUGAGAAUUACUAAUAAGAAUUAUUAAUUGAGUGUCUUCUCAUAAAAAUAGUAAUAUCUGUUCUUUGGUCUCUCACAAUACAUAGUUUAACUCCAUAUAUAAUUUAAUGAAUGCAAUGUGUCACUUUGGUUAUAGGUUUGCAUCUUGGAAACGAUGUUAGUAGAAACAAGUCAGUUUCCCUCUGUUCCUUUUUGCUUAGCUUUCUGGGCUAUCUUCACCAAUGCCACAGUCCAUCUGUAACAGAAUGCAUUGGAGAUUUGAAAAAUCACGACAGAUAAUAAAUCUCUAUAUACUUCUCAUCCUCUGGAACAAUUGAGACAUUGAAAUUGCCUGAUCUUUUUGAGUGAGUGUUGCCACUUUGACCCAGGCAAAUGAGAAAUAAAACAACAAUACCAACCAGCAGUUUCAAGUAUCCUUCUGCUGCAUAAUAACUCAGCAGUAGGCUUUGCUAAUGGUGUUUAUGAGCUGCCAGGCUAGAAUUGGCCCUUAAGCAGGGAGGCAUUUGCCCAGUGGGCUUCUUCCAUGUGGGGGGGCCUUUUUGCAGCCUGGGGGCCCUUUUAGGUGAUUCUCAGCCGGAGCGGUCUCUUCAGGCCAAAGACUUUUGCAAUGAGCUAACUAUGUUCAAUUAUUGCUUUCAGAUCCACCCUACAUUCAAAUGUUUUGGGACACCAAUGUAAUACCAUAAAAAUGACUGUGUAGGACACGCCUAUGCUAAUGUCAUGACUGGUUUGUUUUACGUAUUAUUUAUUUAUUUGAUACUGUUAAUAAAAAGCAAACAAGCCAAAAAGAAAUACUCCCCAACGUUUAAUAGAGAUCAUUGUAUCCUAAAAUCUUAUAGCACAUUAGAGUGCAAUGAAGCUCAAUGUAACAAGCAUCAACAAUCAACUACGAAAUGAGUAUGGAAAUAGAGUAUAUCCAAGGAAGACAGAAGUGUAGACCACAUGAUGACAGCGGGAUAAAGACAAAGGAGAAGGUAAUCGAGAGCCAAGGGUUAAACCAUUCAAAUUGUCCUUUGGCAUUAAAAUGAUCCAAGAUGUUUCAUGAGUUCAGGUUAAAAAAGGAAAUCAGUAAACCCCAAUAUACUUUAAGUUUCAUUUGACGCCCACAAGCUGAAACUACCUCUUUGUGGUGUGUGUCUUUACAUCAGCAAAGAGUAUAAUUGAAUUUGGUUAUUAUCUCCAGUGCUACCUGUUUGGACCUGCUAUUUCACCUUCCUGAAAACUGUUGCAUUGAGUUCUACUGGGGAAAAUUCUUAAGAUAACAUCUGUUUACUAAGAAGGGGGUGUGCUUACCUGCUCUAAGGUAUUGAAAUACAUUGUAAAUCUAUACCUAAUUCAUAUAAACAUAAUUUCAAGGAAAAACAAAAACAUAAGAGACAGACCCUGGCGGAGUGCCAAAGAAUUUGUCAGGGUCCCAGUCCCUGUACCUUAUGGGAGAAUUAAAUUCAUUAAACUGGGCCAGCACGCCCAGCCCAUUCUUGUUUCUUGGUAAAGGAAAAUCCAACUAUAUAUAUCUUCUUUAGGAUCACUUAAAG
RNAcentral lists this long non-coding RNA (3712 nucleotides) under Homo sapiens (human). RNAcentral describes it as "HSALNT0135088". The record is from RNAcentral. Lineage: Eukaryota; Metazoa; Chordata; Mammalia; Primates; Hominidae.